RNAcentral lists this ribosomal RNA (253 nucleotides) under uncultured bacterium. Its description in RNAcentral is "partial 16S ribosomal RNA". It matches the Rfam family "Bacterial small subunit ribosomal RNA", at positions 524 to 776 of the family's 1533-position model. The record is from RNAcentral.
UACGUAGGGUGCGAGCGUUGUCCGGAAUUAUUGGGCGUAAAGAGCUUGUAGGCGGUUUGUCGCGUCUGCUGUGAAAAUCCGGGGCUCAACCCCGGACUUGCAGUGGGUACGGGCAGACUAGAGUGUGGUAGGGGAGACUGGAAUUCCUGGUGUAGCGGUGAAAUGCGCAGAUAUCAGGAGGAACACCGAUGGCGAAGGCAGUUCUCUGGGCCGUAACUGACGCUGAGGAGCGAAAGCGUGGGGAGCGAACAGG